This 2283-nucleotide ribosomal RNA is filed under the name Sonneratia caseolaris. RNAcentral describes it as "bacterial LSU rRNA". It matches the Rfam family "Bacterial large subunit ribosomal RNA". Lineage: Eukaryota; Viridiplantae; Streptophyta; Magnoliopsida; Myrtales; Lythraceae. The record is from RNAcentral.
AGUUUGUGAAGUGAAACAUCUAAGUAACAAGAUAAGAAGGAAUCAAAAGAGAGAUUAUAAGUAGUGGUGAGCGAAAGUAAAGAAAGAUUAACAAAAAUGAGAUAGUAAUGCGAAGAAAUAAAGCGUGAAGUAAAGAAGACCAUUUUAAGUUAAGAAGUAAUUAUAAUGACCGAUAGUGAAGAAGUACUGUAAGGGAAAUGUUAGGAAAUCCAAAUGUAAGUAGCAACUAAACAAUAAAGAAUUGGUUAGUGUACCUUUUGCAUAAUGGACUUGCAAGUUUAUAAUAAUUGUUAGUGUUAAACAAGGGAAUGGGAGACAUAAUGAAGAUAAAUAUAAAAAAUGUAAAAAUGAUUGUUAUAAGACUCGAAAUCCGACGAGCUAACCAUGUCCAGGUUAUUAAUAGGACCGAACUAGUGCUUGUUGCAAAAAGCUUGGAAGAGGUGUGGUUAGGAGUGAAAGGCUAAACAAGUCGGAAGAUAGCUAGUUUUUCGCGAAAUAUAUUUAAGUAUAGGGUAUAAAAUAGUAUGUGGGGGUAGAGAACGUAAUUGCAAAAAUGUGAUUGGGAACAACGAAUACCAGAAUUUAUAUACUCGGACAAUUGGUGAUAAAAUUAAUUGUCGAGAGGGAAACAGCCCAGAUUAAAUGUUAAGGUCCCAAAGAACAAUAAAUAAGUAAAAGAUGAUUAUUAUUUGAAAACGAAUAAGAGGUAGGCUUGGAAGCAGCCAUCCUAUUAUAAAAGAGUAAAAGCAUGUUAUGAAGAAGGAUAAUAGUAUCUAAAAUCUAAAGGGAAUGAGGAUUGUCACCGAAACAGUAACUUUAUUUUAUUUUAUUUUUAUUUUAUUGAUUAAAUAGGAUAAAGGGUAGCGAAACAACCUAAGAGUGUAGAAAAAGAUUGUAAGAGGAGAAAGGAAAACGAUUAGGAGAGAAAAUGCAAGUAUGAGUAAUAAAAAGAAACAUAAAGAAUAGUUUUGAUCGAAAGCACAAGUGUUCCAAUAAGGAAAAAUAAUGAAUAAAAUGUGGUAGAGACGAUAUCUAAGGAGAAUCUGAAAAGAGUAUUUGAUGAAGAAAGAAGUUAAAUGUGAACUAGAAAUAGUCAGGAAAAGCAUUUAAUAGUAAAAAAAUAUCGUAAUAAAACCGACACAGGUGUGUUGUCAUAAGAGUGAUAAGAUAAUUAGGUUAACAUUGUUAAGGAACUCGGCAAAUUAACAUCGUAACUUAGGGAGAAGAUGGUCCUUAUUAAAUAUAGUGAUAGGAUGCAAGUAAUGGAGAAUAGCGACUGUUUAAUAAAAACACAGGUCUAUGUAAAAUAGUAAUAUAAGAAAAAUGGACUGACCUUUGUCCGGUGUCUGAAACUGAAGAAAGGAGUAUAUAAGUUAUUUCUUUUAAGGCCAGGCAAACGACAGCAGUAACUAUGACUGUUCUAAGGUAGCGAAAUGCCUUGGCCGAUAAAUACGGUCUCGCAUGAAGAAGGUAACGACUUUUCUACUGUCUCAACAAUGUACUAAACGAAUUUGGCUUUUCCGUGAAGAUACGGGAUACAAGUUCUAAGACGAGAAGACCCUAUGCACCUUGACUAGAUUUUAAUAUUGUGGAAUGAUAAACAUAUGUAGAAUAUAUGGGAGUUAUAAAUUUUUAUAAUAGAAAAGUGAAAUACCAUGGGUGUUUUUAAAAGGAAACUGAAUCAGAAAUGAGAAAGUGUUAGAUUGCUAGUUUGUCUGGGGCGGACGCUUCCUAAAGGGUAACGGGAGUGUGCAAAGGCAUAAGAAAGUAUAAUAAUAAGAAUAUGCUUGACUGUGAGAGAGACAUUUCGAACAGGUAUGAUUAUAUAUAUAAUUGUAGGGUAUAAUGACCCGGUGGCACUGAAUGGAAAGGCCAUCGUUCAACGAAUAAAAGGUACGCUAGGGAUAACAGGUUGAUAGUGCUUAAGAGUUCAUAUCGAUGGCACUGUUUAACACCUCGAUGUCGAAUCUUCGCAUCCUAGUGGUGUAGCAAUUACUAAGGGUUUGACUGUUCGUCGAUUAAUAGCGGAACGUGAUUUGGGUUUAAAACGUCGUGAGACAGUUUUGUUUCUAUCUAGAACAUUGAUAAGAAGAGUAAACAAAGAGUAGGGGAUCUUAGUACGAAAGGACCGGAGACUGUUAAUCAAUUGUGUAUCUGCUGUUAUAUGUAAAGUAGUAGUAGUAGUAGCAUAGCAGAGUAGCAAAAUUAAAAAGAGAGUACUGUUGAAAGCAGCUAAACAGGAAACAGAACUUGAUGUUUAUAUAAAUUAAAGAAGAUAAUUUU